RNAcentral lists this ribosomal RNA (524 nucleotides) under uncultured bacterium. RNAcentral describes it as "partial 16S ribosomal RNA". It matches the Rfam family "Bacterial small subunit ribosomal RNA", at positions 28 to 523 of the family's 1533-position model. The record is from RNAcentral.
GACGGACGCUGGCGGCGUGCCUAAUACAUGCAAGUCGAACGAAGCUGUUUUAACUGGUGCUUGCACCGACUUAAACAACUGAGUGGCGAACGGGUGAGUAACACGUGGGUAACCUGCCCCAAAGCGGGGGAUAACAUUUGGAAACAGAUGCUAAUACCGCAUAACCACAGAAACCACAUGGUUUCUGUGUCAAAGAUGGUUUCGGCUAUCGCUUUGGGAUGGACCCGCGGCGUAUUAGCUAGUUGGUAAGGUAAUGGCUUACCAAGGCAAUGAUACGUAGACGAACCGAGAGGUUGAUCGGCCACAUUGGGACUGAGACACGGCCCAAACUCCUACGGGAGGCAGCAGUAGGGAAUCUUCCACAAUGGACGAAAGUCUGAUGGAGCAACGCCGCGUGAGUGAAGAAGGUUUUCGGAUCGUAAAACUCUGUUGUCAGAGAAGAACGUGUGCGAGAGUAACUGCUCGUGCAGUGACGGUAUCUGGCCAGAAAGCCACGGCUAACUACGUGCCAGCCGCCGCGGUAA